UAUAUGAAUGGUUGCUGACAACUCUGUAAGAUUUUUAAAAAAUUAUUAUAAUAAAUAAAUCAUAAGGUGCUAAACUUAUAAAAUGACCAAAUAAUGGUUUGUUUGAUACUUGCAAAUUAAGGAUUCAAAAUAUGGCUGAAAUACUAAAAAUGGUUUAUGCUUUAAUCAUCUGGAUUUCUUUAAUUCUUGUUGUAACCGGCCAUAGUUUUCUUCCUUGCGUAACAACUGAGGAUUGUGCUGAUGAUAUAUGUACCCAUCCUCAAAUACCAUUGUGUUAUAUGGAAAAUUGUCAUUGUGCCUAAACGUAGCAAUUAUAUUAAAAAUAACUAUUAUAUGUUGCUUCUAAUAAGUUUAAUAUUUGGUGAUUGAAUAAUUAGUUUACAAUUUGAUUUGUAUGUCACAAUGUUUCUAAUAUUAUAAAAUUUCUUGCAUUUUUCUUUA
Molecule: long non-coding RNA, 441 nt
Organism: Vicia villosa (hairy vetch)
Lineage: Eukaryota; Viridiplantae; Streptophyta; Magnoliopsida; Fabales; Fabaceae
Exons: 2
Source: RefSeq, a predicted model, not a curated record